AUCAUUUUACUGUGUAACACACAGGUUGGUGAUUUUCAUUUUACAGAUUAGGGAGAAUAAAGUUUUGAGGAAUUAUGGCACUUGUUUGCUGGAGUUCACCAAAAAAUUGAGAGAGUAGAAUAAUGCAUGGUAGUGCAUGCCUGCAAUCUCAGUGACUCAAGAGGCCAAGGCAGGAGGAUUGUCAAGUUUGAGAUCAGCCUCAGUAACUUGGAGAGGACCUCAGCAANCCAGAUAACCCUCUUCCCUGUCCCCUCAUACCCCCUGCCACAAAAAAAAAAAAAAAAAAAAAAAACAAACAAACAAAAAACCCAGAAAGAAAAAGAAAGAAAUAAGGUGGAAACCCUAUGCUUCUAGACUUCUUUUUCCUCUGUAAUAAUGAUCAGUAGAACGUGUACAUGGAGAAAGAUGGGGAGAGGAAUAGAAAAUAAGAAGUAGGAAUAGUAGCAAGCAUGAGAGGCUGAAAAUAUUCUGUUGAGAAAAACUAGUUGCACAUCUUUUUUGAGAGUUUUUAAAUGAAUAUCACCAGGAAAACUAAUAUGACUCACAAGUGCACAUGAAGCUUUAUUUUGAGUGUGUGAGUUUCAAAUGAUAACCAGUCAUUGACUAGAAAAAAUAUUUUCCCUGAGCGUUUCAUAAAUUGUCUUAAUAUGCAUAUGGAU
Molecule: long non-coding RNA, 659 nt
Filed under: Marmota monax (woodchuck)
Lineage: Eukaryota; Metazoa; Chordata; Mammalia; Rodentia; Sciuridae
Source: RNAcentral